AGGCGCGUAGCUCAGUGGUAGAGCGCUACCUUGACACGGUAGAAGUCGUUGGUUCAAUUCCAAUCGCGCCUACAA
This 75-nucleotide transfer RNA is filed under the name Pajaroellobacter abortibovis. Its description in RNAcentral is "tRNA-Val". It matches the Rfam family "tRNA". Rfam says of the family: Transfer RNA (tRNA) molecules are approximately 80 nucleotides in length. Their secondary structure includes four short double-helical elements and three loops (D, anti-codon, and T loops). Further hydrogen bonds mediate the characteristic L-shaped molecular structure. tRNAs have two regions of fundamental functional importance: the anti-codon, which is responsible for specific mRNA codon recognition, and the 3' end, to which the tRNAs corresponding amino acid is attached (by aminoacyl-tRNA synthetases). tRNAs cope with the degeneracy of the genetic code in two manners: having more than one tRNA (with a specific anti-codon) for a particular amino acid; and 'wobble' base-pairing, i.e. permitting non-standard base-pairing at the 3rd anti-codon position. The record is from RNAcentral. Lineage: Bacteria; Pseudomonadati; Myxococcota; Polyangiales; Polyangiaceae.